This 3607-nucleotide long non-coding RNA is filed under the name Gallus gallus (chicken). Its description in RNAcentral is "lncRNA (ENSGALG00010004898.1)". Lineage: Eukaryota; Metazoa; Chordata; Aves; Galliformes; Phasianidae. The record is from RNAcentral.
UUUUUAUCCUUGUAAAAUUUUCUCUUGGACAAUUCUAAGUAUCAUUCCUCAUGGAUUACUGAUAUCCACUGCUAGAAUCUUCCCAGGCUUCUUUUUACUUACUAUUUCAAAUGCUCUGUUAGGUUUUCUGCAGAGUACUAGCCGCUCAGACCAAGUAUCUGCACUGAUGAAACCAAAUUGCAGAGAAUGAUUUAAUGCUAAAAUAAAAGUAGCUGCGGAAUAAACCCUGCAAAUAUAAACUGUGAUCCAAAUCCAGGAAAUAGAAGUUUGAAUAAAGUUAAAUAACUUCUGAGCUCUUAGCAAGGGUUGACAUGCCCUACUGAAAUUAUUUGAGUACAUCUUCAGGCCAACAGUAGCUUCCUUAAAACAAACAAAUGUAAUAAUAAUAAUUAAAAUAAAAAAAAAAAAAAAAAAGGCAGCUCUGUGUUUAGAUUCUUUACCGCAUGCAAUUCCAGUGUUAGCUCCUAAUACUGAAUGCCAUUACCAGGCACAUAAAACAAGCUCAGUGUGGGAAUUGCUAGUUUUCUAAAGCGAUAAAGCAAAAGGAAAGGCUCCUUUUACCAUCUUAAAGCUCAGUAAAAAAAUGUACUUUCACGAUAAACAUACAGAGCAGAAAGGGCUUCAAGCUUUAAGAUUUUUGGGGGGUACUGGUGAGUUAACAAAACUUAAAGAAGAACUUGUGUAAGCAUCUGAUGCCUCCUUGCUACAUUGCGAACUCCAACCAGUUUUCAGUGCAAUCUGUGAGGCUUGUGGAUUCCCCAGAUCAAAACCCCAACUUCUUAGAGAAAGAAUGAGGUUGAAGAGAAGGAAGGAGGAGUGGGGCUUACCACAGGCUGUGAGCAUCCCAUCCAGAGUCUUGAAUCAGUGCCCACACACUGAGUGCGUUGUUGGCCUUUUAAACUGGUGUUAUGUAAAUACAUUAUGUUAUAUUUAUCUUAAGCUGCUGCAGUCUAUAAAUAUUCAAGUGUCUGCUGCCAUUUUUAUGAAUGUAAGUAAGACCCAUGUUGCACUAAUGGCAGUUAUGUUUUCAAUCACAGAUGGGGAAGAAUCUCAAGAGACACUUAAAAGCAUGGAGGGUAUUAAACAUCCAAUAGGCAAAAAAUCCUAAGGCUUAAAGAAGGAAAAUAACCAGUUUUAAAGGGAACAUUGCAGGUAACCAACUCUGCUCAUAUACUUUCUGCACCACAAUCACAGUAAGCUGGAAACUUCUCCAAAAAAGCAUAAAUAUUCCAUUCUGUAAUAUAUAACCUUCUGUGAGACAUGGUAAUUUAGCUCUGCCACCAUGUGUGCAUGUACCACUGAGUAGUCAUAGGCAGGGGUACUGCCUAUGUGAGUUGUUCAGUCUCUCUGAAAAACAAUGAAUGUCUCCAGCGUGUUUGUUCUUCAAGAUGUAAGGUUGCUCUGAAAGUAACACCUCCUAUUUAUUUCCAUGGAAUCUACAACUGAUAGAAUAACGCUAUUUGAUAGAGCAGAUUUUCAGCUGUUGGAACUGUUUUCCAACGUAGUCACCAACAUUACUUAAGCAUUUUCACCAGCAAUGACCAAGGGUCUGCAUGCCAUGCUCAUAAAAAUCUGUACCCAGUGGAGGUGACUCAUUGUGCCGCUUGCUCCCUUGUGCCUUGCAGCAAUCAGGAAAGCUGGGAUUCAGCCACCUUCCUGCCCUAGCACCUGUGCAGAAUGCCUUAUUGUCCAAUGCAUGUGCUUUUCUAAGCAGUGUGUGAUUUCUUUCUGCUAGCUAUCAAGAGUGUCCCAUUAGAUGUUUGUAAUGCAGUACUUUGCUAAAUAGCGUGAUUUGGUCAUCCUCCUACUCCUUGCCUGGAAACUUCUCAAAUUCUUUUAACAUCCAUUAGUUUUGUAAUUAUUCAAAUUAAUUAGGUCAUUAUCAGCGGAGAAAUAAAUUUCUCUUUUCCCUACAUGCAAAAUAAUUGUUCUGAUACAGUAUUUCUGCCACAAAAACUCUGAGAUUGACAGGCUGGGAUGGUGACCGUGGCAGAAGACCUUGCAGACGCAGCUCUCUCAUCUGAACAUCCUUUUUACUCUACAGUAGAAACAAUGAGGAGAAUAAUUUACUUUCAUGAAAAUCCUACUGAGCGUGAAUGAGCAAAACAGAGAGAACUCUCCUUAGCUGGGAUCUUCGUGGUGUGCUGUGCCUCACUUCAGAUUGCCACACUGACCUCGAUGUUUAGGAAGGAUACCAUUAUUUAAAAAUAAUUCCAGUAUGCCAUGGAUGGCAUUUGCUAUCAGCAGGGUGCUCAGAGAUCCUACACUUUGAAGGUAAAUACUACAGUUUAAUCUGUUGGGUUUUGUGGUGGUGGUUUUGUUUUUUUUAAUUAUUUUUUUAAAUUAUUUUUUAAUGAGAGAAAGAGAGGUGCAAAUUGAAAAGAAAUCAGUUUUUUUUUUGUUUAAAUGCACGUGGAGAAAAAAAAAAAGAAAAUGUCUUAGAUCACUUUAUGUGGUUUCUUUCUUUCUUAUAAAAAAGUGAACAGUAACUCCUGAUGAUACUCAUAUCCAUAGAUACGAGUUCUACUCAGUGCAUUUCCAAGUGCACUAUUGACCAAUUGUGUUUUUUACCAAGCUCAUUAUGAAUCACACUCACCUGUUGGCAUUUCACAUGCCAAAGUCAUGUCAAAUUGCAAACUGCCGGGUGUCUGCUCUGUAUGGAGCCAACCCACAAAUAAAGCUUGAAAUUUCAAAUGCCAGCCCUCACAAUGGCAUGCAAUUCUCUUCAUUGGUUGCAUCUUUUUAUAGCCCUCUUAAAUUUGUAGUGCUCCAUCCAGAGAAGAUACCAGCCGUCUUACAGUAUUAAGCCAUUUCCAAGGGAGAAACAAAAAGUUGGUCAUAAAUGAUAGAGUGUCAGAAGGUGAGAACAGAUAUAGAAGUGAAGUUCCAAAGAAGGGUGGAUUAGAAGAGUGGUUUUGGAACUAUAUUGGGUCUGACUGUUUCCGUCAGACUUCUGUUUUUAAGCUGUUGUCUGGACACCGAACUUUCAACUGCCUAAUUCUAACUGAAUCAUAAAUCCUCGAGACCUUACUACCGUAUCCUUUAAAGAGACGUGGCUUACCAUGCCACAUUACUCCUCAUUUAAAUUUAAAUUAUAUUUUGCAGGAAGACACAGUCAUUGAAUUGCCAUGAUGUACAUACUCCUUACUGUUUUUGGACACUUGGCAAUCUGAUACGAUUUAUCUGUGCAGAAAACUUCCUGGAUUGGAACAGCAUCACUGUUCCUAACCUGCUUAACAGUUUCUCUAGAAUGAGUCUGGGAGCCUGGGAGAUUUGAAAGAGGGAUGCUGUCUCGUAAUCUGCCUAUUUGUCCUGUUUAGUAGGAAUUGAAAUGCUUAAGGAGGAAAUGUUUAAAACAAAGCACCGCAGAUACAGUGUGAGACAUAGCUGUAUUAAGAUUCAGUGACUGAACCUGACUGUGCUGUCAUACUUCUGUGAAGAUGCAAAAAUGGACCAGCUCUGACAGACCAGUCCUCUGAAAAGAAGCUAAAAUUAGUUUGGAAUUUGUUCCUAUCCCUGCUGCUGGUCUGAAACUGUCUGAGGAAGAAAGAGAACUCAAACUCUAUGGCAUAUCUAGAAAUCCCGUGGACUGGCAUGUCUUCUUUUC